UACAUGGGGUGCAAACGUUGUUCGGAAUUACUGGGCGUAAAGCGCGUGUAGGCGGUUAUCCAAGUCGGGUGUGAAAGCCUUGAGCUCAACUCAAGAAAUGCACUCGGUACUGGGUGACUAGAGGACCGGAGAGGAUAGUGGAAUUCCCAGUGUAGUGGUGAAAUACGUAGAGAUUGGGAAGAACACCAGUGGCGAAGGCGGCUAUCUGGACGGUUUCUGACGCUAAGACGCGAAAGCGUGGGGAGCAAACAGG
This 253-nucleotide ribosomal RNA is filed under the name uncultured bacterium. Its description in RNAcentral is "partial 16S ribosomal RNA". It matches the Rfam family "Bacterial small subunit ribosomal RNA", at positions 524 to 776 of the family's 1533-position model. The record is from RNAcentral.